This 1381-nucleotide ribosomal RNA is filed under the name uncultured bacterium. Its description in RNAcentral is "bacterial SSU rRNA". It matches the Rfam family "Bacterial small subunit ribosomal RNA", at positions 38 to 1407 of the family's 1533-position model. The record is from RNAcentral.
GGCGGCGUGCUUAACACAUGCAAGUCGAGCGGGAGCCUAGCGAAAGAUUUAUCUUUAGCGGAAAGCCCGGUUAGCGGCGAACGGGUGAGUAACGCGUGGGCAACCUGCCUUGUACAGGGGGAUAACACCGGGACAACCGGUGCUAAUACCGCAUAACACCAUAAGUUAGCAUUAACAUAUGGUCAAAGGAGAAAUCCGGUACGAUGAUGUGCCCGCGUCCGAUUAGCUAGUAGGUGAGGUAAUGGCUCACCUAGGCGACGAUCGGGUAGCCGAACUGAGAGGUUGAUCGGCCACAUUGGGACUGAGACACGGCCCAGACUCCUACGGGAGGCAGCAGUGGGGAAUAUUGCGCUAUGGGGGAAACCCUGACGCAGCAACGCCGCGUGAAGGAUGAAGGUUUUCGGAUCGUAAACUUCUUUGAUUGGGGAAGAAAAAAAAUGACGGUACCCAAAAAACAAGCCACCGGCUAACUACGUGCCAGCAGCCGCGGUAAUACAGAGGGUGCGAGCGUUGUCCGGAAUCACUGGGCGUAAAGGGCGCGUAGGCGGCCUGAUAAGUAGGGGGUGAAAUCCUGCGGCUUAACUGCAGGGUUGCCUCCUAGACUGUCUGGCUCGAGCACGGUAGAGGCAGAUGGAAUUCCCGGUGUAGCGGUGGAAUGCGUAGAGAUCGGGAAGAACAUCGGUGGCGAAGGCGGUCUGCUGGGCCGUUGCUGACGCUGAGGCGCGACAGCGUGGGGAGCAAACAGGAUUAGAUACCCUGGUAGUCCACGCCGUAAACGAUGGACACUAGGCGUCGGGGGGAGCGACCCUCCCGGUGCCGUCGCUAACGCAGUAAGUGUCCCGCCUGGGGAGUACGGCCGCAAGGCUGAAACUCAAAGGAAUUGACGGGGGCCCGCACAAGCCGGUGGAGCAUGUGGUUUAAUUCGAAGCAACGCGAAGAACCUUACCUGGGCUUGACAUGCACGGGAAAGCCGGUGGAAACAUCGGCCCCUCUUCGGAGUCCGUGCACAGGUGCUGCAUGGCUGUCGUCAGCUCGCGUCGUGAGAUGUUGGGUUAAGUCCCGCAACGAGCGCAACCCUCGUCCCUAGUUACCAGCGGGUCAUGCCGGGCACUCUAGGGAGACUGCCGGUGUCAAACCGGAGGAAGGUGGGGAUGACGUCAAGUCAUCAUGGCCCUUACGUCCAGGGCGGCACACGUGCUACAAUGGUCGGUACAGAGCGUCGCCAACUCGCGAGAGUGCGCCAAUCGCUAAAAGCCGAUCUAAGUUCGGAUUGUAGUCUGCAACUCGACUACAUGAAGCCGGAAUCGCUAGUAAUCGUGGAUCAGCCAUGCCACGGUGAAUACGUUCCCGGGCCUUGUACACACCGCCCGUCACGCCAUGG